RNAcentral lists this ribosomal RNA (258 nucleotides) under Brevibacillus borstelensis. Its description in RNAcentral is "partial 16S ribosomal RNA". It matches the Rfam family "Bacterial small subunit ribosomal RNA", at positions 95 to 346 of the family's 1533-position model. Lineage: Bacteria; Bacillati; Bacillota; Bacilli; Caryophanales; Paenibacillaceae. The record is from RNAcentral.
GCGGCGGACGGGUGAGUAACACGUAGGCAACCUGCCCGUAAGCUCGGGAUAACAUGGGGAAACUCAUGCUAAUACCGGAUAGGGUCUUCUCUCGCAUGAGAGGAGACGGAAAGGUGGCGCAAGCUACCACUUACGGAUGGGCCUGCGGCGCAUUAGCUAGUUGGUGGGGUAACGGCCUACCAAGGCGACGAUGCGUAGCCGACCUGAGAGGGUGACCGGCCACACUGGGACUGAGACACGGCCCAGACUCCUACGGGA